Molecule: long non-coding RNA, 284 nt
Filed under: Brassica napus (rape)
Lineage: Eukaryota; Viridiplantae; Streptophyta; Magnoliopsida; Brassicales; Brassicaceae
Description: long non-coding RNA (BNAP_LNC013403)
Source: RNAcentral
UAUUUAUUACCUAACACAGAGUUAUCAGUAACCACACCAUUAAUUACAACGGGUUCAAUAUAAAGUUACAGCUAUCACUAACCACAAUCAAUUCAAUUCACAACACAUCAAUCUGACCCUAUGAAAUAUUUAUCCAACUUUCAAUCUAUGUAAGUUAUCAAGAUAGGCGUUUUACCUGUAUUGCAAUUGUAGUCGAGCCUUGAUGUCUCUUGAUCCGAACCAUCUUGAUCUGAACCUUGAUGUCUCUUGAUCCUUUAGUGGAACAUUGAUGUCCUCUUGAUCCG